GCCUAAAAGCUAGCCCCCCAAAACGAAACCAACGCAAAACUAUUAAUAACCCCUAAUAAACUUAAUAAAGAUAAACAAACCAUUUAACCCCUUUAGUACGGGCGACAGAAAAAGGACUAUGGAGCAAUAGAGAAAGUACCGCAAGGGACUGCUGAAAGAGAAGUGAAAUAAACCAGUAAAGCUUAGAAAAGCAGAGAUGAAAACUCGUACCUUUUGCAUCAUGAUUUAGCUAGUGUAACUUAAGCGAAGUGUACUGUAGUUUAUUACCCGAAACUAAGUGAGCUACUCCAAGGCAGCCUAUAAAUAGGGCCAACCCGUCUCUGUGGCAAAAGAGUGGGAUGAACUUUGAGUAGAGGUGACAGACCUACCGAACUUAGUUAUAGCUGGUUGCCUAAGAGUUGAAUAGAAGUUCAGCCCCUAGACUUUUUUGUUUCUACUGCUGUAGCCUACGCAAAUAUAAAGAAAUCUAGGGAGUUAUUCAAAGGGGGUACAGCCCCUUUGAAAAAUGAUACAACUUUUAUAGGAGGAUAAAGAUCAUAAUUUUUAAGGUAAUAUACCCGAGUGGGCCUAAAAGCAGCCAUCUCUGAAGAAAGCGUUAAAGCUCAAGUAUAAAUUUAGCCUAAGAUACUGAUAAUUAAUCUUACUCCCCUAGCCUUACUAGGCCUUUCUAUUUUUAUAGAAGUGAUAAUGCUAAUAUGAGUAAUAAGAGAGACAAGUCUCUCUCCACGCACACGUGUAAAUCGAAACGGACAACCCAUCGAACCUUAACGGCCCCAAACAAAGAGGGUAAUGAGUAAAAAAUAAAGAACUAGAAAAAACCUCACAAAUGACCGUUACCCCAACACAGGUGUGCCCCUAAGGAAAGACUAAAAGAGAGAGAAGGAACUCGGCAAAUAUUUAAAGCCUCGCCUGUUUACCAAAAACAUCGCCUCUUGUUUAUUAUACAUAAGAGGUCCUGCCUGCCCUGUGACACUCAGUUUAACGGCCGCGGUAUUUUGACCGUGCAAAGGUAGCGAAAUCACUUGUCUAUUAAAUGUAGACCUGUAUGAAUGGCAAAACGAGGGCUUAACUGUCUCCUUUCUCAAGUCAAUGAAAUUGAUCUCCCCGUGCAGAAGCGGGGCUUAACCCAUAAGACGAGAAGACCCUAUGGAGCUUUAGAUAAUAGAAUAGCUCACGUUAAGAACCCCCUGACAAGGGGCUAAACAUAAUGAACCCUGUUCUUAUAUCUUUGGUUGGGGCGACCGCGGAGAAAUAAAUAACCUCCACGUGGAAUAGUAAUACAAUUACUUCACCCAAGAGUGACAGCUCUAGUGAACAGAACUUCUGACCUAAAGAUCCGGUAACACCGAUCAACGAACCGAGUUACCCUAGGGAUAACAGCGCAAUCCCCUUUUAGAGCCCAUAUCGACAAGGGGGUUUACGACCUCGAUGUUGGAUCAGGACAUCCUAAUGGUGCAGCCGCUAUUAAGGGUUCGUUUGUUCAACGAUUAAAGUCCUACGUGAUCUGAGUUCAGACCGGAGUAAUCCAGGUCAGUUUCUAUCUAUGACAUGUUCUUUUCUAGUACGAAAGGACCGAAAAGAAAAGGCCAAUUUUAUAAAAACGCCUUACCCCCACCUGAUGAAGGAAACUAAAUUAGGCAAGAGGACAUAUUCCCCUUGUCGAAAAUAACGACAU
RNAcentral lists this ribosomal RNA (1675 nucleotides) under Minous monodactylus (grey stingfish). Its description in RNAcentral is "16S ribosomal RNA". It matches the Rfam family "Bacterial large subunit ribosomal RNA". The record is from RNAcentral. Lineage: Eukaryota; Metazoa; Chordata; Actinopteri; Perciformes; Synanceiidae.